GUUCUAGUUGUCCAUGUUUCAGGCUUCCAGUCGGCGAAGGCACUAGAUACCUUGACCAUGAACAACCUGAAAAAGCCCCUCAGGUCAUCUCCUCCCUUUAAGCCACCUUUCUGCUGCUUGCAAACAAGGGCAUGCCUGAGACAUCUCACCUGGGAUGCAUCCAAGAGGCAUGGUCAGAUACUCGAACCACUCCAGCUGGCUCCUUUCAGUGUCGAGCUCUGCUCUGAGCCCCUCUCCUGAUCUGUAAUGCUGAGCCCAGACAUCCUCCAGACGAAGCUCAUUUUGGCCGCUUGUAUCUGCGAUCUCAUUCUUUCGGACACUACCCAGAGCAAUAGGUGAGGUAGGAAUGUAAAUCACCAACUUUGCCUUCCUUUGUUUUUUCUUUAUGCUUCUGUAGAGCUGACAGAUUACCUCAACAUUUCCA
Long non-coding RNA from Astatotilapia calliptera (eastern happy), 424 nucleotides. The record is from Ensembl. Lineage: Eukaryota; Metazoa; Chordata; Actinopteri; Cichliformes; Cichlidae.